Molecule: long non-coding RNA, 922 nt
Organism: Camelus dromedarius (Arabian camel)
Lineage: Eukaryota; Metazoa; Chordata; Mammalia; Artiodactyla; Camelidae
Exons: 4
Source: RefSeq, a predicted model, not a curated record
GGGCAGGCCGGCCGGCCGCACCCCCGGCCUGGGGCCUCCGGUCGUAGUAAAGCGGAGGUGGGUGGGGAGGCGGGAGCGAGAGCCCGCGGCGGGCGAGGCGAAGAUGGUGGCGGCUACUCCUCCUGUCACACACGUGGACCUAACUGCACCAAAAGCUUUUCUAAGGAUACUUGCUGAGAAGAAAGUUCUCCCUAGUGGUAAUUGCUAACUGGAGGCCGGAAGAAAAGAAAAAUGUUUUGCCACGUGGAUGUGAAGAUUUCCUCUAAAAGGCAACCUAUCUAAGCACAGCAAGCCAGACUUGAGUUUUUCCCUGUAGUUUGAAGAUCCCUACAGAAUGAUUGCUGACAAAAUGCAACCUACCGCUGCCUGGAGAACCAUUCAGUGUCACAUCAAAGUUUACUAUGUAUUUAAUGAAGUACUACUCUUAGCAGUUGACAACCCUGGUAUAAUUUGUCUAACAUUAAAAUUGGGAGCCUCUGAGCUGAGCAGUAAAGGUAAGGAGAGCUCAGUACACAAGGCCAAUUUUUGUUGUCCGGCUGGAAAUAAUACCAUGCUUAUUUGAGACUGCGUAUUAUUCUUUACCUUAGAAGUUGUUAAGCUUUCAUUGUGCUUAAAGUCUGAAUUUAAUGUAGUUUUCUGUUCUGAUAAGUUGCAUUCAGGAUGUAAUAUUCUUACUGAGUUUUAAAGGAUUACUAAAAUGGAUGUAUUCCAUGAAUUUUAUAAUCAUAGGAAAAUUACAGACGGCUUAGUUUUCCUUUUUCUAAUCGAGCACAGAUACAGCAUUCAGAGAUGCUUACGUAUUUGCAGUUUGGUCAUGCUGUUUGAGUUGUUUUAGUGCAUUUAAUGUAAAUAAAAUUAUGCAUUUUUAAACUACUUGUUAAAUUGCCCAGAAUAAGCAUGUGAAAUAAAAAUUUUAAGGUUA